Capsicum annuum is the source of this 107-nucleotide non-coding RNA. Lineage: Eukaryota; Viridiplantae; Streptophyta; Magnoliopsida; Solanales; Solanaceae. The record is from Rfam.
UGUUGAUGGUGUGGACAGUUUUGAAGAAGAGCUUUGAACUGCUCCCAUGCAUGAUAUAGAUUCUCAUCUGGCUUCUAUUUAAAGCACAUAAUCUCACUACGAAGUCU